GACGAACGCUGGCGGCAUGCCUAACACAUGCAAGUCGAACGAGACCGUCGGGUCUAGGGGCGCACGGCGGGGUGCGGCGGGGUAACCUGCCCUUGGGUUCGCUGUAACUCCCCUUGGGGUAUGCUAAUAACAGUUAAGCUCUUACGACCUAAGAUUUAUUGCCUUUGGAUGGGCGCGGGUUGGAUUAGGUAGUUGGUAGGGUAAAAGCCUACCAAGGCGUGGAUGCAUAGCUGGUCGGAGAGGAUGAUCAGCCACACUGGGACUGAGACCCGGCCCAGACUCGGACGGGAGGCAGCAGUGGGGAAUAUUGGAGAAGGGGCGAAAGCCUGAUCCAGCAAUGCCGCGUGAGUGAUGAAGGCCUUAGGGUUGUAAAGCUCUUUUACCCGGGAUGAUAAUGACAGUAACGGGAGAAUAAGCGCCGGCUAACUCCGUG
This 433-nucleotide ribosomal RNA is filed under the name uncultured bacterium. RNAcentral describes it as "partial 16S ribosomal RNA". It matches the Rfam family "Bacterial small subunit ribosomal RNA", at positions 28 to 507 of the family's 1533-position model. The record is from RNAcentral.